Molecule: ribosomal RNA, 457 nt
Filed under: Salmonella enterica
Lineage: Bacteria; Pseudomonadati; Pseudomonadota; Gammaproteobacteria; Enterobacterales; Enterobacteriaceae
Description: bacterial SSU rRNA
Rfam family: Bacterial small subunit ribosomal RNA
Source: RNAcentral
GAAGAGUUUGAUCAUGGCUCAGAUUGAACGCUGGCGGCAGGCCUAACACAUGCAAGUCGAACGGUAACAGGAAGCAGCUUGCUGCUUUGCUGACGAGUGGCGGACGGGUGAGUAAUGUCUGGGAAACUGCCUGAUGGAGGGGGAUAACUACUGGAAACGGUGGCUAAUACCGCAUAACGUCGCAAGACCAAAGAGGGGGACCUUCGGGCCUCUUGCCAUCAGAUGUGCCCAGAUGGGAUUAGCUUGUUGGUGAGGUAACGGCUCACCAAGGCGACGAUCCCUAGCUGGUCUGAGAGGAUGACCAGCCACACUGGAACUGAGACACGGUCCAGACUCCUACGGGAGGCAGCAGUGGGGAAUAUUGCACAAUGGGCGCAAGCCUGAUGCAGCCAUGCCGCGUGUAUGAAGAAGGCCUUCGGGUUGUAAAGUACUUUCAGCGGGGAGGAAGGUGUUGUGG